RNAcentral lists this ribosomal RNA (429 nucleotides) under Chloroflexota bacterium. RNAcentral describes it as "Chloroflexi bacterium partial 16S ribosomal RNA". It matches the Rfam family "Bacterial small subunit ribosomal RNA", at positions 355 to 776 of the family's 1533-position model. Lineage: Bacteria; Bacillati; Chloroflexota. The record is from RNAcentral.
UGGGGAAUAUUGCACAAUGGGCGCAAGCCUGAUGCAGCCAUGCCGCGUGUAUGAAGAAGGCCUUCGGGUUGUAAAGUACUUUCAGUCGGGAGGAAGGUGUCAAGGUUAAUAACCUUGGCAAUUGACGUUACCGACAGAAGAAGCACCGGCUAACUCCGUGCCAGCAGCCGCGGUAAUACGGAGGGUGCAAGCGUUAAUCGGAAUUACUGGGCGUAAAGCGCACGCAGGCGGUUGAUUGAGUCAGAUGUGAAAUCCCCGGGCUUAACCUGGGAAUUGCAUCUGAUACUGGUCAGCUAGAGUCUUGUAGAGGGGGGUAGAAUUCCAUGUGUAGCGGUGGAAUGCGUAGAGGUGUGGAGGAAUACCGGUGGCGAAGGCGGCCCCCUGGACAAAGACUGACGCUCAGGUGCGAAAGCGGGGGGAGCAAACAGG